Molecule: long non-coding RNA, 647 nt
Organism: Lathyrus oleraceus (garden pea)
Lineage: Eukaryota; Viridiplantae; Streptophyta; Magnoliopsida; Fabales; Fabaceae
Exons: 2
Source: RefSeq, a predicted model, not a curated record
UUUUUUGUCUUCUCUAUGAUGCUUUCAUCUUCUCCUGAAUCAUCUUGACCUUCUCAAUAGUUUACUGAAUAAUCUCUGGCCUAAGCACAACACUUUCACCAGAUUCAUACCAACACAAAGGUGUCAUGCAUCUCUUAUCAUACAAAGCCUCAAAAGGACACAAGCUCUCAAAAAAUUCUCCAAAGACUGAAUAAUCCUCUCAGUCUGACUGCCCGUUUGUGGAUGGUUGGCAGAACUUAACCUCAACUCAGUUCCCAAGGCUGCCUGCAAGCUCUCCCAAAACCUCGACGUGAACCUCAGAUCUCUAUCAGAAACAGUACUCGACGGAAUAUCAUGCAACUUCAUAAUCACACUGACGUAGAUGUUGUUAGCUGGAAGUUUCGACGUCAGGCCGAAGUCAAUGAGCGAAAGGAGAGAAAAUAUCUUUGAAGACACUCUGGACUUCGACAUAAAAACAUUGUUUGAGAAAUCCAAUCGAAGUGAUCCUUGUGUAAGAGGUAAUUGUUGUGUGAGACUUAUAAAUAUUUCUAAGUUUAGAAUGGUAAUUCCACUGAGACAACAUUAAGGUUGCGUUGACACAAAUGUUUUUUAGUUUAUUUUUGUUUAAAUUAAUGAUAUUUUUAUAUAAAAGAAUUAUAAGUGGUAAA